This is a long non-coding RNA of Pantherophis guttatus, 374 nucleotides long. RefSeq lists it as uncharacterized. NCBI's taxonomy places the organism in Eukaryota, Metazoa, Chordata, Lepidosauria, Squamata, Colubridae. The record is from RefSeq and is a predicted model, not a curated record.
AAAAAAUGGUCAGUCAUCAGUUGACCUUAGAUUUCAAGUAUGCACACAUGCAGCCCUCAGAUGGAGAGUCAACAGUCCCCAGGUCUGGAGGUGGCUGAUGAGGAAGAGGAGGAACAGCUGGGUCCCAUGUCUGAUAUGCAGAUGCUCAGAAGGCAGAGGAGAGCAGUGGAAAUCUGUGGGCCGAUCCUGGGGAAAGAAGAGCCACCACUGCUAGCGAGACCCCACCCUAGCUCUGGGGAUAAAAGGCAGGGGGCAGAGAUGAGCAGGUGUGGCAGACAACUAUUCAUUUUCCGGACGGAUGGACUUGUUGGUCUGCAAUGGAAACUUUUUGCCAGGGCUGCUAUCAUUCCUAAUAAAGGAAUCUUUUGAGUUCA